Vicia villosa (hairy vetch) is the source of this 1898-nucleotide long non-coding RNA. RefSeq lists it as uncharacterized. The transcript has 4 exons. Lineage: Eukaryota; Viridiplantae; Streptophyta; Magnoliopsida; Fabales; Fabaceae. The record is from RefSeq and is a predicted model, not a curated record.
ACCGCAAAUGAACAUAUCCACAAUCUUCAAACAUUCGUCUAAUUGACGCAUCUAAACCUGCAAGAGAGUUUCCAACAUACAACUUCGCUUGCCUCACUAUUCAGAUCAGCAACGCAGCACACAGAACUCGUAUAUUAGGUGUACAACAAAAUUCUCAAAAGACUCAAAGUUUCAAGGAGACACAAUCCAUUGAUUUAGCUGGUGAUUUUAGUAAAGGUGAAAAUGGAGAAUUGAACUUUGUUAGGGAAGAUAGAGGGAGUUUUGAUUUGCAAGAUCUUCCAUCUGCAGCACAUCGACACAACUUUAUCCUUCAAGCAGAUCCUCCAUCUUUAAUAUCAACUUUCAGCACUGAUUUCCUCCAAUCUUCAACGCAAUCGCAAACACCGACGCGAGCUUCACCUCACGGACCACAUCAUCAUCAUCGGCGAAAACGAAAACUGACACACAACUUCAACGAUUCGAGAACACAGGUGAGCUCACGCAGCAACGUCAUUGAUCAUCAUUAUCUGAUUCAAUCUACAAUAACGAUUCAGGACGCUUCUCUGACGAUAUUUUUGCUCAUUUUUAACCAAAACCAAAGCCACCCUAAUUCUCACCCUCAAAACGAGGUUGAGAUUCUAUCUGAUUACUAAUCAAGUGUUAUUUUUAUUGCGUGCUUGUAUCACACCCAAGUAAAUUUGAACUUUCAAACGUGAGAGAUGGAUGCAUGGAAAGUGUUUGUAAAAAUGUCUGUUUGAACUUUGAAGGACUUCUUCAUAUACACCUUCUGCAAGGAAAGGAUCUCGACCUGCUCAUUGUCAUUUUUCUUUAAGAAUUGGCUGUGAGGAAACUACUAGAGAAAUCAGACGUAUCGAGCAAGUUUUCAAUUCAAGGUUUUUUAAGCAUUAUGGUAAACCCUUCUUCCUCAUUAUUCAUCCUAUUUCCUCAAAUCAAACUUUAGUUCAAUUUGCAGAGAAUCCUCUGUUCCAAUCCAACGUUUUUCAACCAUUAUGGUAAACCCCUCACCCUCAAUCUAUACAUUUAAUUUCAAAUUUCAAAUUUCUAAUGUUUAGAUUAUUUUCACUUUAGAACUUUUGAUUGGGAUUGGGGUUUUAUAUUGGUGUUCAAAUCAGAAUUUGGGUUUGUUGAUUUUCAAAUGUUUGUGUUUGUGGAACUGAAGUUGAAAUUUUGGGCAGGAAACACCGUUUAUGACAGGGCUGGUUGUGGCUGCAGCAGCUUAUGCAGGUAGAUAUGGUAUCCAGGCUUGGCAAAGCAUUCAAGGCUAGACCGGCUGGGAUGUGUAAAUUUUAUGAAGGUGGUUUUCAUGCUACCAUGAAUAAGAGGGAAGCAGUUCUCAUCCUUGGUGUUAGAUCCACAGUGGUUUCUCCAACUAAAUUGUUGGAUUCACACUCUAUUUGCUAGUUGUGUAAGUGUGUUUGGAGUCUAGGCUGAAUAUAUGCAGUGUACUUAUGAUUCAAAAGGAAACAGUGUCCCUACUAUACUCAUGUUAAUGCAGGACCAUUUAUAUUCAUAGGGAGGAUUGAAGGUACUGAGGGUGUAUGAUCAUAUUAUAACAUUGUUAAGGCCCUGUGAAAAAGGUAACCCGAUAACUACUUUGACUUUGCUUGAGAAGAUGAAGUCGGUGUACACGAAUGUAGAAGGUCUUCCUCCGGAUUGAAUUGUGGAAAGCAAUUGCUUCUCCAGGGCGUGGUAUUUUGGCCAUGGAUGAAUCCAAUGGUACAUGUGGAAAGCAGUUGGAUUCAAUUGGACUAGAGAACAACCGAAGCUAACCGUCAAGCACGGCGUAAAAUUAUAUAUGAAGAAAGUGUUAUAACUUGGUUAAAAUAUAAUUUUUACGUAGUACUUGAAAUAUUUUUAUGUAGUACUUGAAAUAUUAUGAAUGCACAUGAUUUUGUAUA